UACGGAGGGUGCAAGCGUUAUCCGGAUUCACUGGGCUUAAAGGGCGCGUAGGCGGGCUCGCCAGUCAGGGGUGAAAGCCCACGGCUCAACCGUGGAAGUGCCUUUGAUACUGCGAGUCUCGAGGGAGGUAGGGGCGUGCGGAACUUCCGGUGGAGCGGUGAAAUGCGUAGAUAUCGGAAGGAACACCGGUGGCGAAAGCGGCGCGCUGGACCUCUUCUGACGCUGAGGCGCGAAAGCCAGGGGAGCGAACGGG
Molecule: ribosomal RNA, 253 nt
Filed under: uncultured bacterium
Lineage: Bacteria
Description: partial 16S ribosomal RNA
Rfam family: Bacterial small subunit ribosomal RNA
Source: RNAcentral